CAAACCAUAUUCUAUCCUAUUUAGAAGGUGCCUAACCAUUUUGAGAUUAUUUAGAUUUAUGAUUAUCUACAUACCUAAAAUGUAAAACAUCAUAAUUAUAUAUCAGCAGAUUAAAUCUUGCUUUCAGCAAAUGCGAGUAUUCUUUCAUCUGGAGGUGUUUAUUUUUAAUUUUUUUGCCUGUGUUUUUGUAUUUCUCUUCCUUUAAAUGAGGUGUCAUAGAAAAG
Molecule: long non-coding RNA, 224 nt
Filed under: Mytilus galloprovincialis (Mediterranean mussel)
Lineage: Eukaryota; Metazoa; Mollusca; Bivalvia; Mytilida; Mytilidae
Source: RNAcentral